GACGAACGCUGGCGGCGUGCUUAACACAUGUAAGUCGAACGGAAAGGCCCUGCUUUUGUGGGGUGCUCGAGUGGCGAACGGGUGAGUAACACGUGAGUAACCUGCCCUUGACUUUGGGAUAACUUCAGGAAACUGGGGCUAAUACCGGAUAGGAGCUCCUGCUGCAUGGUGGGGGUUGGAAAGUUUCGGCGGUUGGGGAUGGACUCGCGGCUUAUCAGCUUGCUGGUGGGGUAGUGGCCUACCAAGGCGGCGACGGGUAGCCGGCCUGAGAGGGUGACCGGCCACAUUGGGACUGAGAUACGGCCCAGACUCCUACGGGAGGCAGCAGUGGGGAAUAUUGCACAAUGGGCGCAAGCCGGAUGCAGCAACGCCGCGGGCGGGAUGACGGCCUUCGGGUUGUAAACCGCUUUCAGCAGGGACGAAGCUUUUUGUGACGGUACCUGCAGAAGAAGCACCGGCUAACUACGUG
Molecule: ribosomal RNA, 469 nt
Filed under: uncultured bacterium
Lineage: Bacteria
Description: partial 16S ribosomal RNA
Rfam family: Bacterial small subunit ribosomal RNA
Source: RNAcentral